ACGGGUGCGUAACGCGUAUGCAAUCUGCCUUUCACAGAGGGAUAGCCCAGAGAAAUUUGGAUUAAUACCUCAUAGUAUUAUUGGGUGGCAUCACUUAAUAAUUAAAGUCACAACGGUGAAAGAUGAGCAUGCGUCCCAUUAGCUAGUUGGUAAGGUAACGGCUUACCAAGGCAACGAUGGGUAGGGGUCCUGAGAGGGAGAUCCCCCACACUGGUACUGAGACACGGACCAGACUCCUACGGGAGGCAGCAGUGAGGAAUAUUGGUCAAUGGACGCAAGUCUGAACCAGCCAUGCCGCGUGCAGGAUGACGGUCCUAUGGAUUGUAAACUGCUUUUGUACGAGAAGAAACAACAUUACGUGUAAUGUCUUGACGGUAUCGUAAGAAUAAGGAUCGGCUAACUCCGUGCCAGCAGCCGCGGUAAUACGGAGGAUCCAAGCGUUAUCCGGAAUCAUUGGGUUUAAAGGGUCCGUAGGCGGUUUAGUAAGUCAGUGGUGAAAGCCCAUCGCUCAACGGUGGAACGGCCAUUGAUACUGCUGAACUUGAAUUAUUAGGAAGUAACUAGAAUAUGUAGUGUAGCGGUGAAAUGC
Molecule: ribosomal RNA, 589 nt
Filed under: Flavobacterium sp. StRD341
Lineage: Bacteria; Pseudomonadati; Bacteroidota; Flavobacteriia; Flavobacteriales; Flavobacteriaceae
Also listed under: 2 other names
Description: bacterial SSU rRNA
Rfam family: Bacterial small subunit ribosomal RNA
Source: RNAcentral